This 643-nucleotide ribosomal RNA is filed under the name uncultured bacterium. RNAcentral describes it as "bacterial SSU rRNA". It matches the Rfam family "Bacterial small subunit ribosomal RNA", at positions 232 to 885 of the family's 1533-position model. The record is from RNAcentral.
CGCGGCCUAUCAGCUUGUUGGUGGGGUAGUGGCUUACCGAGGCUUUGACGGGUAGCCGGCCUGAGAGGGUGACCGGCCACAUUGGGACUGAGAUACGGCCCAGACUCCUACGGGAGGCAGCAGUGGGGAAUAUUGCACAAUGGGCGGAAGCCUGAUGCAGCAACGCCGCGUGCGGGAUGACGGCCUUCGGGUUGUAAACCGCUUUCGCCUGUGACGAAGCGUGAGUGACGGUAAUGGGUAAAGAAGCACCGGCUAACUACGUGCCAGCAGCCGCGGUGAUACGUAGGGUGCGAGCGUUGUCCGGAUUUAUUGGGCGUAAAGGGCUCGUAGGUGGUUGAUCGCGUCGGAAGUGUAAUCUUGGGGCUUAACCCUGAGCGUGCUUUCGAUACGGGUUGACUUGAGGAAGGUAGGGGAGAAUGGAAUUCCUGGUGGAGCGGUGGAAUGCGCAGAUAUCAGGAGGAACACCAGUGGCGAAGGCGGUUCUCUGGGCCUUUCCUGACGCUGAGGAGCGAAAGCGUGGGGAGCGAACAGGCUUAGAUACCCUGGUAGUCCACGCUGUAAACGGUGGGUACUAGGUGUGGGGUCCAUUCCACGGGUUCCGCGCCGUAGCUAACGCUUUAAGUACCCCGCCUGGGGAGUACGG